AAUAAUUGACUUCUAAGUAUACAAACAGAGAAAAAAAAAUUACCAUUUUUCAAGUUCAAUCUUUUCUCUCUUCUUAGAGUAUUAAUUUUAGUUGUUAAGUGCUGAUUCAAUUGCAAAUUGCUUAUUAAGCAUUCAAAUUACAGUUUUAUUUUUAAAAAACUUUAAAUCAAUAUUUAAUUUUGAAGUUUUAUUAUUGCCAAAAUCUAAAUUGUUCUCUUGCUGCAUACAAAUCUAUCUCUUAUCAUUAUAAAAUAUUCAGAGCAAACGGUACGUGAUAAAAACUAUCUUCGAAAUCUACGUCGGGGGGUGGUUCGACAGGACGCUGGCACGGCAGGGUGAAAGGAUGUCUGAAGGUCGUUCAUUGCCCCCAAAGAAUAACUGCCGACUAAAGCUAAUUGCGUUAAUUUCUUGCGUUGAAAUUCAAUAGAGUUAUGAAUAAAUUAAACAAGAUAGAAAAUUAUAUUAUAGAUAUAAAUCUUUUUAGAAAACAUGUUUAAAUAUAUAUAUGUGUGUGUGUGUAUUUAUUCUUAAAAAACAAUAGUUUUUAUACAAAAUUAUUUUUUGUUAAAACGCAUAUUAACAUAAAUUAUUUGAAAUAAAAAUAUAAAAAGUAUAAAUAAAAUAUUUUACGUCAAUUUCAAUUGUCUCAGAUGCAAAAAAGUAAAUUCUUCUAUUUAUUAUAUUAAUUAGUUUAAAUUACAAUCAACAAAUUUCUAUAUUAAUUAUUUAUUGGGUGUUUACGAAUGGUAAAGCAGAUUUUUUUAUAUAAUAAUAACAUUAAAUAUCUAAUUAAAUAUCUAAUUAAAUAUUUAUGUAAUACAUAAUAUAUAAAUGAUAAAUUAAAUAAUAAUAAAUUACCCUAAAUUGUAUUCUAAAAUUAUGAUAUUGAAGAUAUGAAAUAUAAGAAGUAGAUAUAACUUUGAUAUUAUUAGAUUAUAAGACAUUCUUCUCUUCGUUGGUUGCUUUUUUUAUGAUCAAACUUUUCUAAUCCCGGUAACGAAGAAAGUAAAGAAAGUUAACUCUGAUAAAACAGUUCUGUCCUGUAGAAAAAUACAUAUCUAGUGCAAUAUAGAGUAAUGAAACUUGAAGUUGCUUUCAAAAGUUAGAAUUGAACGGAAGGUAGAAAAUUCGAUGUUCUAUAAUGCAAAUCGAUCUUUAGUCCUGACAUGAAUGUGUAAUACUCACUCCUAAGAUCAAUUACCAGACGUCCAUCAAGAAAUAAGCCCGUUGAAAGCAAAUGACUCAUCUUCGCUCAAGAGCACUUCGUAAAUGUCGAGUUUUUUUUUAUGAAAAAAAUGAAACUCGUGAAUUACGUAGGUAGUCUGCUUUAAGCCUCAGCAUGGAGAUGUCGUUACUCGUCAAAACUAUUCUGGUACUACAAUUGUACAUGCUUUUAAAGAUACCUCUUAAAAUUUCAGCCAUUUUGGACGCUCAGUUGUUGUUUGACAGUCGUUUGUGUCAGUCGACGUCAGUGUUUUUGUAAAAAUGGAAAAAAUCAAAUAUCAUACCGUGAUUAAAUUUUUGCAUUUAAAAGGUAAUACGCCUGCGCAAACUAAAGCCGUGUUGGACGCUGUUAAGAGGAGUUUUGCUCCAUCAUUUGCCAUCGUCAAAAGAUGGGCAGCUGAAUUUAAACGUGGGCGUACCAACUUGGUUGAUAAUGAGCGUUCGGGGCGGCCAACAACUGCGACCACUACCGAUAACAUCGAAAAAAUUCACGAAAUGAUAUUGGAUAAUCAUUAAAUCAAUGUUAAAGAGAUAGUAAAAAUUAUGGACAUAUUGAAUUUAUCAUCUAUUACAUGAAGAAUUGAACAUGAGAAAGCUGACUGUGCCUUGGAUGCCACGCUUCUCACUUUGGCCCAAAAACGUAUUCAAAUAAAUAUUUCCAAAGCCCUGUUGGAGCGAUUUAAGCGAAACGAAUCGGAUUUUUUGCAUCGAUUCAUAACUGUAAAUGAAACUUGGAUCCAUUACUACACUCCUAAGACAAAAGAAAGAUCAAAACAGUGGAUUGCGAAGGGUGAAUCUGCUCCGAAAAAGUUGAAGACGGUUUCAUCGACCGAAAAGAAAUAUCAAGAAUUGAUCGAGAUUGUUCAAUUACAUUAUCCAUUAUGAUAACAUCUUGGAUGUUGGUCUAAAGGUUCGCGUCAAUCAUCUUACCAUCUUAAGAAAACAAUCGUGCAAAUGUUUCGCCUUAUCGCUAACGUGGAAAGCUCUAGCGCGAAAUUGAAUGGCAAUGAAGGAGAGUCCUAAAUCGAGAUGGUGAUGAACGAAAGAAUAACACGGAAGCGAGAUUGAGGAUAGUCAGCUUCGACGUGACGAUGAGAAAGAAUCAGAUAAGGAAGCGUGGCUCUUCCACUGACAUUUCCUUUGUUUAAGAAUCAAGAUAAGGCCUGGCAAGGCCCAUAUGGAAGGUCCUAUGUUUGAGCACGGGCAGGAACAAACCGGGCGCACCUCCUUUCCUCUCACUCUCGAGUCAAAUAUUAUCGGGUGCGCGUAUACAUAUGUAUUUAUCCGCAUAGUUUACUCCGGACACCUGCCUGCAACCUAUGGAUCAGCACCUCGACACCUAACCAUCGCAUGAUUAAACCUCCCUUCAUUGGAAUUUUUCGCAAAAUAAAUAAUUGAUAAUCCAGUUUCUAUCGUUUUUUAUAAUUUAUUUAAUACUUUUGUUGAAGCUAAAUCAAACGACCGGUUUACUGCAACUGUGUGGUUAAAAGAUAUAAUUAUUUAUACUAAGACCAAAUAAAAGAACAAAUCGCGCAAUCGAAUCGUUUGAAACAGAAAUAUUCUAACUUUAAAAAAUGCAGUUAAAAGCAAUAUGUUUAAUCAAUUUGAGUUAAAUUUUUGAAUAUUUUUGAGAAUAGCGAAAACAAUAUCGUGUAAAAUAUUUAUUAUGCAAUAUAUUGACUCUUAAAAAUCUAUUUUAGAGAUUUAUAAAAUACACAACGAUGAAGUUGAAGAAUCUAACAAAAAAUAUAGGUAUACAAACAAUUAUAACUUCGAGAUCAUUUUUCCACAAAACCUCCAUCAAGAUUUAGGGAAAAUCGAAAACAUAUCCUAGAUAGAUCCUUUUGUGAAAAUCGAUGUCUUCGUGUAGAUAGGUCCCGUAUUUGCAAUGCACUUGUGACGGUGCGAGCUUGAAGCUGGCUCGAAUGACAUCGAUGGGCACCGUAGCAUAGUUUUCCCGGCCACGCAAAUAUUUGCUGGAAGGUGAAAGAGUCCUCUUUAAAUUCCACUGGGCAAUCGGCGCCUCAACGUUCAAAAUAACCUUAGAGUUUAAAGCUCCUCCUCUAAGAUCAACAGAGAUCAUAACGAGAUGAUCCUUUAACGGGUAACGGCAAUCGAGAGCUCGAAUUUCGUUCCCAGGACCGGUGCGCACGUUUGUGCUAUGCAGGAUUAAGCAAUCACGUGGACUGAUGGUACCUUGAUAGCGAUGCUAAUGUCGGGUCGAAAGGGCCUAGCACGCGUUUAUGGCCCUUCCGUUUGCUUAGGCAAAUCGAAGACAUUCGCGGUCGAAGGGCGAGUAUAUGUAUCUUCGGUGUUGGAAACCGUGAGCCUGCAAUAAAGAACUAUUACAGUGGCAUCAAAGUGACGAAGCCUACUCAUAAAAAAUUCUUUUUUUUCUCCCACUAGAAACACAUAGUUAUUACUAAAUAAACCAGGAGAACAUCCAGUGAACAUAAAAUGGAAGGAAGAUAUGAAAGAAGAAAAUGAAAAUUUUUUCUCCCUAAAUUUUUUUUUAAUAUAUCCAUGUUAUAUGUUGCGACACAUAUUUAUUAAAUUUGUAUAUCUCUCUCUCUUUUCUUUUCUCAACUUGAAA
Monomorium pharaonis (pharaoh ant) is the source of this 3817-nucleotide long non-coding RNA. RefSeq lists it as uncharacterized. The transcript is spliced from 4 exons. The record is from RefSeq and is a predicted model, not a curated record. Lineage: Eukaryota; Metazoa; Arthropoda; Insecta; Hymenoptera; Formicidae.